AACGAACGCUGGCGGCAUGCCUAACACAUGCAAGUCGAACGAGACCUUCGGGUCUAGUGGCGCACGGGUGCGUAACGCGUGGGAACCUGCCCUUAGGUUCGGAAUAACUCCCCGAAAGGGGUGCUAAUACCGGAUAAUGUCUUCGGACCAAAGAUUUAUCGCCUUUGGAUGGGCCCGCGUUGGAUUAGCUAGUUGGUAGGGUAAAAGCCUACCAAGGCGACGAUCCAUAGCUGGUCUGAGAGGAUGAUCAGCCACACUGGGACUGAGACACGGCCCAGACCCCUACGGGGGGCAGCAAGGGGGAAAAUGGGACAAUGGGCGAAAGCCUGAUCCAGAAAGGCCGGGGGAGUGAUGAAGGCCUUGGGGUGGUAAAGCUUUUUUACCCGGGAUGAAAAUGACAGUACCGGGAGAAUAAGCCCCGGCUAACCCCGG
Molecule: ribosomal RNA, 432 nt
Filed under: uncultured bacterium
Lineage: Bacteria
Description: partial 16S ribosomal RNA
Rfam family: Bacterial small subunit ribosomal RNA
Source: RNAcentral